RNAcentral lists this long non-coding RNA (2062 nucleotides) under Felis catus (domestic cat). Its description in RNAcentral is "lncRNA (ENSFCAG00000051109.1)". Lineage: Eukaryota; Metazoa; Chordata; Mammalia; Carnivora; Felidae. The record is from RNAcentral.
GGUUUCGUGUGCUUUUUCAACAAGAGAGUACGGGUAGGAGAAGCCGUAUCCGGACUCAUCACAAGACCAGCACCACGGGCAGCAUCGAACGUCCACGGAGCCCUUGCAACGUGCUGAGCGCCAUCCCAGGAACCUGACGCCCGCGAUCGCAUCCGAUCCCGGCCACGACGCCUGUGUAGACAUGAGAAAACCAAGGCCUCGCCCGGCUGGCAUCCCAGCCUUUCCAGUUGGUCUCCUUUCCUUCCCAGUUGCUGGGGUAGCUCUGAGUGGGCAGGAGACACCCCAGCUGUCCUCUGGCAGUGUGCCAAGUCACCUCAUCCUGCGCUUUUCUAAGAUGGGAGGGUCGGCCCGCCACUCUUAGAAGGUCUGCCUCAUUCCCUGACCCCUAGGGAGUCACCCCAGCCUGCUCCGGCCCAGCUCUGGGUCAGCACAUUCAGCAAAUCAAGUGCAGCCGAGGCCCGGCCUUCUAGCUCCAGCCUCCCCGGCUCCUCACACGCACCACCCCUCCCAUCGGAGCCUGCGCGGGUUCAUUUCCACGUCCGCUGGGUGGGCUGCCUGUCAGAGGGUUUUCAUGAGAUGUCCGGUUGCUGCAGACUCAGUGCCUGACAGGGCGGACACUCAGUAAACUGCAGAUGCCCCGCAAUGUUUUUCUGUUACCGAUUCAUUUUUGAGUCUAGCUGACGCCCCUCUGUGGGCACCGUAUUUCACACCCGCUGUGCCCCAAUCCGACGUGACAAGCUCCCUCCUUGGGAGUACAGAAACGACGACGAGAGGAGGUUCAUGGCCUGCACGCUACCACAGGGCAAACACAGGUACAGGUCCCCUGUGGAGCGUUAGUAGCCUGGAGCCAUCAGGCCUCCCAGGAGGAGCCUGUUUGUCAGGAUAGGAAGCUUCCAGGCUCAUUUCAGCCCCACCGGAUAGAUGACCCUGAGAACUGGUAGGGGGAGAAGAGUCAGCUGGUUCUCACCUCAGAAACGAGAAGACUUUUCUCCCCACGUGAGAACAGGUGGAUGGAGACGGGACUUCACAUCAUCCAUCUUCCGCGAAGUCACUUAUACCGUGACCUUGGGCAAGUGGCUCAGCUUCUCUGAAGCUCAGUCUCCUCUCCUGCAGAAGGAGAGUGGUGGUCUGAACUUGCCUCUAGGUCCUCGAGGCCGCAGCCUGCCCUGUGCAACCAGCCGGGGGAGUUUCGUCAGCCAGACUCCAUUCCAGGCCUAUUACAUGAGAAUCUGUGAUUCAUUUCCUGACUUAAGGAUGGACGUGUUUAGGCCCGAAGGCCCCCGAGAGGGAAAUGUCUACUCACUUUGUCAUCUUGCUUCCCAGGGGUGUCCUCCGGGGACAGGCCCUGGGGGCCCAGAUGGCUCUGGCGCCUCCGUCAGGAGGUGUGGGCCUCCAGGACAGUGUGGACAGCCCCUGGGGACAUCUGAAGGCCUCUCAAGAGAGGGUGACAACAGACUCAAAAGGGAGAAUUCCUGCCAGUCAUAAAUGAUCCUCUCCGACGCCGAUGAUUUUUCUGUUGUUAGAGAUGAUUAUUACAGGCGUGAACAAUGGCCCUGCUGUUCUUUCUCUGCUGGCUGAGAAGCAGGACAUCUAGCUAGCUGCCGAGUCACCUCACAGCAGUAGGCAUGGAAAAUAUCGACUUCCUUCUUAUUGCUUGAUCCUCGCUGCUUUUCUUCCUUCGUUUCUUAUCACCUCUGAGGCGUUUUCACGUUCCUGCUCUUCUCUUCAUUCUUCACGCGAUAAUGCUUAUUUAAUUUUGAAUGUUCUCUUCCGGUCAAAAGUUGGCUUGCUGGGUCCAGACCAAAUGGAAACAAACAUGAUGAAACUUGUGCUACGCUGAAGGGCGCCUGGGCGGCUCGGUCGGUUAAACGUCCGACUCCAACUCAGGUCAUGAUCUCACGGUUCGUGGGUUCGAGCCCUGUGUCGGGCUCUGGGCUGAUGGCUCAGCACGGAUUCUGCGUCUCCCUCUCUCUCUCUGCCCCUCCCCCGCUCACGCCCUGUCUCUCUCUGUCUCUCAAAAAUAGUAAAUAAACGCUUACAAAAAAGUGUAAAAACGUUUGUU